RNAcentral lists this long non-coding RNA (487 nucleotides) under Canis lupus familiaris (dog). Its description in RNAcentral is "lncRNA (ENSCAFG00845023068.1)". The record is from RNAcentral. Lineage: Eukaryota; Metazoa; Chordata; Mammalia; Carnivora; Canidae.
UAUUACUACUCUGUCCCCUUGGUUGCAUGAAAAACAACAGUAUGUCUUAUAAUCAGUGGCGAUUUGAAUUCAAUGAAUGCCUUCCAAUGAUAAACAUGAAGAAAUGGUGAAUGCAAUAUUUACUUCAUUGUGCAGAUGAAUUUGCAAUAAAGAAAGAGAAAUGCCUAAGUGCAAGAAACCAUGAAGAAACUUGAAAGGGAUUAGCAGGUUGAUGCUGGAAAAAGGUUUCUGGUAUACUGCUAACCUCUCACCAAGCCUUACUGAAUCCUACUACAUGCUAAGGAAAUGCUGGGAAAAGUGACGAGUCAACUAAAUUUGCAAAGUCCUUUGUACUGCAACAAAGAUAAAGCAUUGAUCUAUACAUAGUGUCCAUUGUGCCAGUCACCUUUGGCAUCUCAUCCAGCAAAGAAUGGAAAGAACCAGGAAAGAAGAGAAUACCAGCAAUGCUUCUGGUGUGCCAUUCUAGAGGAAAAUGUGAAAUCUGUGG